Molecule: ribosomal RNA, 466 nt
Filed under: uncultured bacterium
Lineage: Bacteria
Description: bacterial SSU rRNA
Rfam family: Bacterial small subunit ribosomal RNA
Source: RNAcentral
GAUAAACGCUGGCGGCGCACAUAAGACAUGCAAGUCGAACGGAAGUCGUUAUAAAAAGAGAGAAGAUUUAUCGGAUUGAAUUUUAUAACAAUGGCUUUAGUGGCGGACUGGUGAGUAACGCGUAAGGAACCUACCUGUUAGAGGGGAACAACAAUGAGAAAUCAUUGCUAAUACCGCAUAUGCCAUAACUACCGCAUGGUAGAAGUGGGAAAGGAGUAAUCCGCUGAUAGAUGGCCUUGCGUCUGAUUAGUUAGUUGGUGGGGUAACGGCCUACCAAGACGACGAUCAGUAGCCGGACUGAGAGGUUGAACGGCCACAUUGGGACUGAGAUACGGCCCAGACUCCUACGGGAGGCAGCAGUCGGGAGUAUUGCGCAAUGGAGGAAACUCUGACGCAGUGACGCCGCGUGCAGGAAGAAGGUUUUCGGAUUGUAAACUGCUUUAGACAGGGAAGAGAAAGGACAGUA